CGGAUCGGGUCGAAACCCGAAAGGAAUCGGGUCGGGUCAUCUGCUCGACGGCUUCCUUCCGCCGGGCCAAGAGAGGGGCUCUCCCAGGACUCGGAUAAUCCGACGGGCGGACUCGGCGGCGUCGCGCUUCGACCUCGCUUUCGUCUCUUCCAAUCCGCGCAGUUGGCCCACAUGAAGGCAUAGCUUCGGCCCGAGCACGAUCGACUCGCCUCCGUGGCGAUUCCGAAGCCUCUCUUCCCGCCCGGUUUGGUGUCCAUGGAUAUUUCUUUUGUUAACCAGUCAUAUCGUAUGAUAGCGACUUAAGAGUAGAAUUGUUUUUGCUUAAAAGGAUUUGAUAAAGUGAUAGAGAAAGGAGAAGCAAAGGUUAAUAUCUAGGAUAAUAUCCGAAAUCAAUUUGAUCCCAAGGUAUCUCAUGUGAGGUAGUAUUCUGCAUCACACUAAAUGUGUUUCAUACAUCGUUCUAAAAAGUAUUCUUAUGGAUGUAGCAUAAUACUACUCACACAUAUUUGUGGAUAAAAGAAAUUUUAUUUAUUUAACCAUGUUUGUUAUUAUAAACCUUUCCUGUUUUAUAGACCCCAAUUACAAGAAAAAUAGAAAGAAGAAAAACUAACAGGAUAAGAUAAAAUAAAACUAAGAAAAUUAUAUCCCCUGGUAAAGAUACCUUUCAAGAGUAAUCAAUCUUCCUUUUAUCUUCGGUAAAGAUACUUUUCUAAAUUUGUGUGUUAAAUAAUUUUUUACUUUUAGAAUUAUAUGAUUGAUUUUGACUUUCUUGUUGAUAUAAUCUUCAAUCAUGCCUUUACUCUUUGGAUAUAAUCUUUAAUCAAGCUCAAAUUUCAUCUUUUCUUUAAUUUUGGUUUGGUUUUUUUCUCCUUGGGCAAUCAAGGUAGGUAAAAUAGAGAUCCAUAAGUUGUGAUGUGCAAACUUAUUACAUUUACAAAUAUCCUUCUAAAGUACCAAAGAUAAACUAAACAAAAUAACUUCUGGAUCAACCAUGGAUCCACCUUUUCUUUAUAUUUUUAAACAAGAAUAUCAACAGGAUUUUAUAUGAAUUUUUUUAUGGAUAAAUGUAGAUAAAAUGGCUCAUAGGUGAUCACUGAUAGCAAAGGAAAUUGAAAAUCUGCAUCUACUGGCUUGUUUAUUUAUUUAUUUAAGCUGAUUAUUUAUUUUUAAACUGGAACUCCCAUGAGAUCUCUGAUAUGUAUCACCUUUACACGUGAACUUAAGACAUUUUAGAGGACUAGAUGAUUUGGCUGAGCUUUGGUUGAUACAAAGACAAAAUCAGAAAAAAACGAAUAAUAAAAUGGAUGGAUAUCCUUAUCCAUCUUGGGGUCCAAAUUUGUCUAGCUGAUUAGGCAUCAAGCAGAGAUUUAUGUCAACCAAAUACGAAUUGUAAUCCAAUAAUGAUUUGGCAAGGUUCUAUAUAUGUCAAUUUACUAUGUUUAAUAGGAUAAUUUCAUGUAGGCUGCUGCCGUUGAUUGGUUAUCACAUAGCCAACCUUCUCUCUUUGUUAAGAAUGGUUCUCUUUAGCACUAGAGACAUGCCUGACUUCCAUGUUGCACAAUUGUAAGCUUUUUUCUUAACCACUACCAUCCUAUAACCAGAGAAAAGCAAAACAGAAGAUAGAAGAAACCAGAUCUUUGUUCCCUACCUGAGGCCUCAGAGCUAUCACUGCCUUCCCAUUUCCAUCCAUGAGCAGGAGCUCUCCUUCAAAGCACUUGUGCUUCCUUGAAUAAUUGUCGACCCGAAAGGCUAAUCUUCCCUUGUUAUCAUAAAUUGAGAAUCCAUCUGUUCCAUGGAAAGCCAUGCUUGACUUCUUCCAAACUGUCCACACUGAUGGAUAGUUUGUCACUGUUGCAAGCUCUUCAUCAUCAAUCUUUCUCAGUGAAGGAUGAACCCGAGACAUUUUUCAGCAAUAGCGGGGUGGAGAGAAAGGCUGUAAAGGAACUUCUCUUAUGGGCUUAUUAUAUAUGUAGGCUUGGAAGUAUGGAGUGAGGAAGUAGUGAAGGGAUAUCACUACUUGAUGGACAAAAGAUGAGGUACCCUUUUAUGGUUAUAACACUUUUUAGAAUUAAUAUGAAUAUAUUUUUUAGCGUUACAUAGGAUUUGAACUCUGUAAUGCCAGAGCUAACAUGUCAUUAUCAUGCAGAGUAGGACAAUGCUGCAGGGAUUGAGAUUCUAGUAGUAUUUCUAAUAGGCCGAAAGGGGAAAGCAUGGUACUUUGGUAUAUUGUGAAUCCAACCACCCUCUGUUUUCAUGUUGUGGUGAACUGGAGGCUAUGUUCAUGUGAGCAGAAAAGGCAAAUGUUCAAUUAUCCUUUCCACAAAAUGGUACUUUGAUGGCUAAAUUCACUAAUCAAUACUGUAUAUAAUAUCUGGUAGUUCCAAAGGGAAUACCAGUUAAAUUUGCAAAAAAGGUGACUUAUAUUCCUUGUUAUGUUCUUAACUGCUGACAGCAUGGACACAUUUGUUCUUUUGGAAACAUGACUGAAUUUGAAACAUGUAAACUCUAAAAGUUGUUUCAUAUAAACAUAACUGACUUCAUUAACCAUUAAAAUCAUGAUUAUGUCUAAAUUCUAUUUCUUUUCUAACAGAUGAUGCUUUACAAAGUUGAUGGUAGACAUUUGCUCUUCAUUCUUGGUUAGAAAUUGUUUAAACAAAAUAUAAAUCAACAAAUAUAAUUGGUUUCAUAACAUGGCAUAUUUUGAGAGGAAUAGCAUUUAAAUUGUUCAAGUAGAAAUGUAGGUUGGUAGAAAGGUAAAUUGUGUAAAUCUAUCAAAUUCUGUAUGAUCUCUUCCAGGGCCUACAAGGUAAUUGACAGCUGCCGAGGUGGGACUAUGGGAAUUUGCAAAUGUCACAAACUUCGUUGGCUUCCAUGAAAGCAGAGGCAACUUACAGAUGACAGAUAAGACAAGCUUACAGAUCAUUAGGCUUUGUUUUCUCACAACACUUGCAUGACUGACAGAGAUGCCAUCUUAUUUGGUUGCCUCUAGAAAGUAUUUAUUAUGUAUGGCCUCCUUCCCUAGAGCUAUAAAAAGAAAAAUAUAAGUAGCUCUUGGUAAAGUUAUAUUUCUGAACAACUAAGAUUAUGCUGAUGGAGAACAGCUAAAAGAAGAGUUUGCUCAGAAUCAAGCCUCGUGGAUAUAUCUAUUUCAGAAUCAUGCUUUUAGAGUACCUCUUCUAAUGUGAUAUAAUUGUGGCAGAAGUGGUCAUUGCACCCAAUUGUAGUACAGCUUCAUUUAAUAUCAUUUUUAUCAUCCACAUGGUAUCUUUUUAAUUAAGGCCCUUAGAGAACAUUAUUUCUUGAAGUUUUUUCUCAUCCACCUGAGCUGCAUAUAUUUUAGGGGCAAUUAUAUUUGUAUGCUUUUAAAAGUGAAAAUUUCAUGUCUACUUCUGUAACUAUGCAAAUAUUCGUAUGUAUCCAUAUAAAUGGGGUAUGUAUUUGUUGUUAGAUUCCUGCAUAUAUUAAACCCAUUAUAUCUGCUUAAUUAUGAUAUGUUUAGAUUUUUUUAAUUUAAAUCUUGAAAUACCUAAAAUAACCUUGUUCCUGUGCUCUUUUACAUUUGUUUUUGGUCUUGCCCUAUCUUUUCCUUUCUUUUAUUGUCAUUAACCCAUUUUUAUCCAUCUCUGUCGUAGCUUUGCAGAAAGAAAUUUCCCAAGGAAGGAGACCAAAUAGAUACGAGAGAAGAGGAAGCAAAGGUAAGGUGGAAUGGAGAAAGAGGUAACAGGCGAUGACAUACAAGAGAAAUGAAGAUGGAACUUUACAUAUCUUCCAUAGACUUUCAUAGAGAACAAAUACAGAUUAUUUUUUUCUCAUUAAACAUGCCAAAUUACAAUUAGGAAACACAGGUGUGGUGGGAAGAUUCAAUGCCGGUUAGAAACAUUGUUUAUGUUGUUAAUGGUGAUCUAAUACUUCAAAGUGUACUAGGAUUUUUGCUGCCUGCAAUGUUGUUAGAUUGACCUUUUUCUUUAUGUAAUUUGGACUUAGCUUCAUUGGAGUUUUAGAUAAAAUUUGCCAAGUUUCUUCCAAGUUCAA
Molecule: long non-coding RNA, 4032 nt
Organism: Musa acuminata AAA Group (dessert banana)
Lineage: Eukaryota; Viridiplantae; Streptophyta; Magnoliopsida; Zingiberales; Musaceae
Exons: 3
Source: RefSeq, a predicted model, not a curated record